RNAcentral lists this ribosomal RNA (760 nucleotides) under uncultured Tropheryma sp. RNAcentral describes it as "bacterial SSU rRNA". It matches the Rfam family "Bacterial small subunit ribosomal RNA", at positions 72 to 843 of the family's 1533-position model. The record is from RNAcentral. Lineage: Bacteria; Bacillati; Actinomycetota; Actinomycetes; Micrococcales; Tropherymataceae.
CAGGGAGCUUGCUCCCUGUGAUUAGUGGCGAACGGGUGAGUAACACGUGAGCAACCUGCCCCUAACUUUGGGAUAACUUCGGGAAACCGGGGCUAAUACCAAAUACGACCCAUGAGGGCAUCCUCUGUGGGUGGAAAGAAUUUCGGUUGGGGAUGGGCUCGCGGCCUAUCAGCUUGUUGGUGGGGUAACGGCCUACCAAGGCAUCGACGGGUAGCCGGCCUGAGAGGGUGAUCGGCCACACUGGGACUGAGACACGGCCCAAACUCCUACGGGAGGCAGCAGUGGGGAAUAUUGCACAAUGGGCGCAAGCCUGAUGCAGCAACGCCGCGUGGGGGAAGAAGGCCUUCGGGUUGUAAACCUCUUUUGGCAGGGAAGAAGCGAAAGUGACGGUACCUGCAGAAAAAGCGCCGGCUAACUACGUGCCAGCAGCCGCGGUAAUACGUAGGGCGCGAGCGUUGUCCGGAAUUAUUGGGCGUAAAGAGCUCGUAGGCGGUUUGUCACGUCUGCCGUGAAAAUCCGAGGCUCAACCUCGGACCUGCGGUGGGUACGGGCAGGCUAGAGUGCGAUAGGGGAGAGCGGAAUUCCUGGUGUAGCGGUGAAAUGCGCAGAUAUCAGGAGGAACACCGAUGGCGAAGGCAGCUCUCUGGGUCGCUACUGACGCUGAGGAGCGAAAGCGUGGGGAGCGAACAGGAUUAGAUACCCUGGUAGUCCACGCCGUAAACGUUGGGCGCUAGACGUGGGGGUGGUUCCACCGCUUCCG